UGGGGAAUAUUGCACAAUGGGCGAAAGCCCGAUGCAGCGACGCCGCGUGAGGGAUGACGGCCUUCGGGUUGUAAACCUCUUUCAGUAGGGACGAAGCGCAAGUGACGGUACCUGCAGAAGAAGCACCGGCUAACUACGUGCCAGCAGCCGCGGUAAUACGUAGGGUGCGAGCGUUGUCCGGAAUUACUGGGCGUAAAGAGCUCGUAGGCGGUUUGUCACGUCGUCUGUGAAAUCCUAGGGCUUAACCCUGGACGUGCAGGCGAUACGGGCUGACUUGAGUACUACAGGGGAGACUGGAAUUUCUGGUGUAGCGGUGGAAUGCACAGAUAUCAGGAAGAGCACCGAUGGCGAAGACAGGUCUCUGGGUAGUAACUGACGCUGAGGAGCGAAAGCAUGGGUAGCGAACAGG
Molecule: ribosomal RNA, 409 nt
Filed under: bacterium
Lineage: Bacteria
Description: partial 16S ribosomal RNA
Rfam family: Bacterial small subunit ribosomal RNA
Source: RNAcentral